This 505-nucleotide ribosomal RNA is filed under the name uncultured bacterium. Its description in RNAcentral is "partial 16S ribosomal RNA". It matches the Rfam family "Bacterial small subunit ribosomal RNA", at positions 28 to 507 of the family's 1533-position model. The record is from RNAcentral.
GGCGAACGCUGGCGGCGUGCCUAAUACAUGCAAGUAGAACGCACAGUUUAUACCGUAGCUUGCUACACCAUAGACUGUGAGUUGCGAACGGGUGAGUAACGCGUAGGUAACCUGCCUGGUAGCGGGGGAUAACUAUUGGAAACGAUAGCUAAUACCGCAUAAUAUUAAUUAUUGCAUGAUAAUUAAUUGAAAGGUGCAAUUGCACCACUACCAGAUGGACCUGCGUUGUAUUAGCUAGUAGGUGAGGUAACGGCUCACCUAGGCGACGAUACAUAGCCGACCUGAGAGGGUGGUCGGCCACACUGGGACUGAGACACGGCCCAGACUCCUACGGGAGGCAGCAGUAGGGAAUCUUCGGCAAUGGACGAAAGUCUGACCGAGCAACGCCGCGUGAGUGAAGAAGGUUUUCGGAUCGUAAAGCUCUGUUGUAAGAGAAGAACGGGUGUGAGAGUGGAAAGUUCACACUGUGACGGUAUCUUACCAGAAAGGGACGGCUAACUACGUG